AUAUCAGUCAUGCAUAGCAUAUCAAUAAGCGGAGGAAAAGGGUGCGGAACUGAACGACCGCUACCUACGCUUAGGAUGUUGACACACGCGCGUGCUCGACUCUAUACAUGACUCUAUGCAUAUCAAUAAGCGGAGGAAAAGAAACUAACAAGGAUUCCCCUAGUAACGGCGAGUGAAGCGGGAAGAGCUCAAAUUUGAAAUCUUAAAGGGUUUCCCUUUACGAAUUGUAGUUUAAAGAAGUGUUUUCUGUUGAGGUUUUGGUAAAAGUUCUUUGGAAUAGGACAUCAUAGAGGGUGAGAAUCCCGUAUUUGGUUAUUCAUUCUAGCUUUGUGAUACACUUUCAAAGAGUCGGAUUGUUUGGGAAUGCAGUCCAGAAUGGGUGGUAAAUUUCAUCUAAAGCUAAAUAUUGGCGAGAGACCGAUAGCGAACAAGUACCGUGAGGGAAAGAUGAAAAGAACUUUGAAAAGAGAGUUAAACAGUACGUGAAAUUGUCAAAAGGGAAGCGUUUGACACCAGUGUUGUUUUUCUGAAAAUCAAUUAAAGAACUGUUUAUGCUAAGUUGUUUAGACUUUAUCAGCUAACUGUUUAGUUUUGAGCUUUUCUUUAAUGCACUUUUCAGUUAACAAGUCAACAUCAAUUUCUUUUGCUGUAAAAAAGCUUGAGGAAGGUGGCUUGAGAUUCGUCUUAAGUGUUUAUAGCCUCUUGCCUAUGCAGUCGGAGAGAUUGAGGUCUGCAGCGUAGAUCCUUCGGGGCUAAAUGCAUUUGUGCUAAGUUAUAGCAUUUUAUAGACAACUUGUUGACUAUGAUUUGUCUUGUAGCUUACUCGCUUAUGUUAUUUUACCUACGCUUAGGAUGUUGACGCGCGUGUGUGCGUG
Molecule: ribosomal RNA, 875 nt
Filed under: uncultured Neocallimastigales
Lineage: Eukaryota; Fungi; Neocallimastigomycota; Neocallimastigomycetes; Neocallimastigales
Description: partial large subunit ribosomal RNA
Rfam family: Eukaryotic large subunit ribosomal RNA
Source: RNAcentral